GCGUUCGGUAGUUUAACGGUGAGAACAUGCCCUGUUUCGGGUAAGACCUGGGUUCGACUCCUGGCUGACGCA
Molecule: non-coding RNA, 72 nt
Organism: Aspergillus caelatus
Lineage: Eukaryota; Fungi; Ascomycota; Eurotiomycetes; Eurotiales; Aspergillaceae
Source: the annotation of a RefSeq genome assembly